CUGCAGCUCCUGCUCCCGAGGUAGCUCCAAUGAAUCAGGAUCCACUCUCUGCAGCUCUGACUUAAACACACCUGCCUGGAGGGUUUUAACACCAACUGCUUGGAAAAGAGUCAUUUGAUAGGGCAUUUUGUUCCUCACCCUCCUCCGGAUCCUGCUCAGAUCCUCCCUGUAAUCUUGCCAUCUCUCUCUGUGACAUCGCUCCUCAGCCACACCCGGGAUGACGCACUGCCAUUUCUCAGCUCAUUGCACUGUGUGGCUACAAGUCCUGCUGCAGAACCAGCGUGGAGACAAACAACAGGCAAAAAUAGAGCCAGGCUGGCCUCAAAGGUGGAUCUGCAGCCUCUGUGAGUCACGCUGCAAUUUCACAAUAAAGCCACCUUGGAACUUAUGCUCCAAGAUGCUGAUUAAUUUAAUUUUUAAAUCUCUAAACAAUACUGGGCAGAAAGAACAAUAAGAAGGAAAAGCAGCACUGAGUAUUCAGAUGAUACCAAAGGAGCACUGAGAAAGAAGUGACCUUAUGCCUUUCACUAGAUGGGUGCGAUAACUCAGCAUUUUAGAUGGGUGUGAUGAACUUGGUGUUUGCAUCUCACCUAACCCUUGGAAGAGAUGGGAUCAAGCCUUCUAUGCUCUGAUUGCUUUGCCUUCACUUUGGCUUUUUUGAGCUCAGAUAAAUCCCCUCCGUGAGAACAACAUCUAACCACACCAGCCUCAUGGCUAGAUAAGGUUCACCAGUUCCUGCAAGAGAGAGGUCACUUUGGACUGAUUCUUCUCAGCUGAGUUGCAAGAAUAACUUGCUGAUACUGAACCCAGUGGGAGAAUUCCCUUAAUCCAGCCCUGGCGACCUGACACAGAUGAUGGACUGUGUGUGCCAAGACAUACUUUGUGAGCUGGUGAAAGACAAAUGUUGGACACACCAGUGCUGUCAGCUGCUCCAGCACUCUUGAGGAACGCCAUUCUUCCAAUUGCUGCCGUUAACUCAGCCACACACCCUGCCAAUAAACCAUAGCAAGAGCUGCCUAACAGGUCAUCCUCACUGCACAAGAGCGGGCAGUUUGCCAGCACCAGACAACUUAACCACCAACCGUGGCUGUUUUGGGAUAGCCAAAUUCCCGAGGCUAAUGACAGCCCCUUCUGAACCGAUGUCUUGUCCCACUGAAGUCCAGGGGCUUCCCAAACUUUUGGAGUCACAGCUGGUGAACACAAAGGUGCAGCCUGAUACAGUCCUACUGUUCUGCGCGUGCUGUUGUGGUCCAGAGUGAGCCAGCACUGGGGUGUCCACAGCUGGUGAAACCCAGGCCAAGUGUCUCUGCUCUGCCAUGUCUCAGCCUGGGUGAGCUGCUGAGCACUGUUUUGUCAAGGUUACAAGGCAGGGCUGAAGUGGCCUCCAGCCAAAUCAUCACCUACCCAGUCCUUACGUCCAGAGAGAUGCACAAAGGCAAACAGCUGGAACAACUGGGCACUCGCUGGAAGGGAGGACACGACAAACCAGAGACUUCUCGUUAACUUUUGCAGACAGAUCAAGGGACAAAGGCAAGUAUCCCACAAUAACUUGGCAAAUACCGCAGUACAAUGCUCAAAUCUGUGGGAUGUGGCUUCACAGAAGAGCUCACCACCUAACGCAGCCCAAAAAGCUUGGCACAACCAUAUGGUUCAACUCAAACACUGCUCCAGACUUUGGAGGCUGAAACUCAAGAAUGCCAGGCCCAGAAAAAUUCUGCUGCAAAGACAAAGUCAAAGCAACUCAGGCAGAUUUGUAGAUUGAAAUGGAAAUGCCCUCACCGUACUGAUUACUUAACGCCAUUUUAUUUCUUCCUUCCCCUUUGAAGAGAACUGUUGUGCGAGCAAACAGAGCCUCAGUUCUCUUGUUGAAACUCCUGACGCCAGUGAUCUCCCACUUCCAUGCAAAGCAAAGCUAUGUGGAAGUCACAGGGUCAAUUUGUUUACCUUGCCUGUGGCAAGGCUUGGGUUCAUCAGGUUAAUUCCAGUAGUUGCUAAAAGGUCUUGAAAUUUUUUCUCUGGUGUCAUAUGGCUUUUGCAUUUUUUUUUUGUUUCAAAGCAGGGGGUAACCAUGAACUGUUCAAAACACACCGAAGUAAACAACAUUUUUCUGCAUCAAGCUCAUCCUGUGGAUUAAUUCAUUUGCAUUUCUGGCCCUUUCAAGUGAGGGGAAGUCAUACAGAUGUGAGCAGUCAUUUAAGGAUUUUAAGGGUUAUGGUUCACAUCAUCCAAAAUUGAUCCCAGGACUACUCAUUCACAGGAAAAGGAAAGAUUAUGGUGGACAUACUGAUGU
Molecule: long non-coding RNA, 2290 nt
Organism: Corvus hawaiiensis (hawaiian crow)
Lineage: Eukaryota; Metazoa; Chordata; Aves; Passeriformes; Corvidae
Exons: 3
Source: RefSeq, a predicted model, not a curated record